CAUAUUUAAGGUUAGAACUACCUUUCUAAGUGUUCUGAUACUUCUCCCAGUCAUAUUUAAGGUUAGAACUACCUUUCUAAGUGUUCUGAUACUUCUCCCAGUCAUAUUUAAGGUUAGAACUACCUUUCUAAGUGUUCUGACACUUCUCCCAGUCAUAUUUAAGGUUAGAACUACCUUUCUAAGUGUUCUGAUACUUCUCCCAGUCAUAUUUAAGGUUAGAACUAUCUUUCUAAGUGUUCUGACACUUCUCCCAGUCAUAUUUAAGGUUAGAACUACCUCUCUAAGUGUUCUGAUACUUCUCCCAGUCAUAUUUAAGGUUAGAACUACCUCUCUAAGUGUUCUGACACUUCUCCCAGUCAUAUUUAAGGUUAGAACUACCUCUCUAAGUGUUCUGAUACUUCUCCCAGUCAUAUUUAAGGUUAGAACUACCUCUCUAAGUGUUCUGAUACUUCUCCCAGUCAUAUUUAAGGUUAGAACUACCUCUCUAAGUGUUCUGAUACUUCUAGCUUGGAGUUGUAUUUUGAUGAUACAAAGAGUCUCUUGGUCGUCCUUUCUUUUUGAUAACACAUACUGUAUUGACUUGUUUUCAUUUUAACCUUUAUUUAACUAGGCAGAUGUAACGGCCGUUGUUGGUGGAAGAAGAGGAGGACCAAUGCGCAGCGUGAUGAAGAGGAGGACGCCUGUGACACCUAUUCCCUAUAUAGUGCACUACAUUUCACCUUAUUCCCUAUAUAGUGCACUACAUUUCACCUUAUUCCCUAUAUAGUGCACUACAUUUCACCUUAUUCCCUAUAUGGUGCACUACAUUUCACCCUAUUCCCUACAUAGUGCACUACAUUACACCUUAUUCCCUAUAUGGUGCACUACAUUUCACCUUAUUCCCUAUAUAGUGCACUACAUUUCACCCUAUUCCCUACAUAGUGCACUACAUUUCACCUUAUUCCCAAUAUAAUGCACUAUAUUUCACCUUAUUCCCUAUAUAGUGCACUACAUUUCACCCUAAUCCCAAAUGGUGCACUACAUUUCACCCUAUUCCCUACAUAGUGCACUACAUUACACCUUAUUCCCUACAUAGUGCACUACAAAUAACCUUAUUCCCUAUAUAGUGCACUACAUUUCACCCUGAUCCCUAUAUGGUGCACUACAUUUCACCCUAUUCCCUACAUAGUGCACUACAUUACACCUUAUUCCCUACAUAGUGCACUACAAAUAACCUUAUUCCCUAUAUAGUGCACUACAUUUCACCUUAUUCCCUAUAUAGUGUACUACAUUUCACCUUAUUCCCU
Molecule: long non-coding RNA, 1286 nt
Organism: Oncorhynchus tshawytscha (Chinook salmon)
Lineage: Eukaryota; Metazoa; Chordata; Actinopteri; Salmoniformes; Salmonidae
Source: Ensembl